RNAcentral lists this ribosomal RNA (255 nucleotides) under uncultured bacterium. RNAcentral's name for it is "partial 16S ribosomal RNA". It matches the Rfam family "Bacterial small subunit ribosomal RNA", at positions 524 to 776 of the family's 1533-position model. The record is from RNAcentral.
UACGUAGGAGGCAAGCGUUUGUCCGGAAUUACUGGGCGUAAAGCGCGUGUAGGUGGUGGGACAAGUCUGCUGUGAAAGUCGGGGGGCUCAACCCUCGGAUGCCGGUGGAUACUGUCGGGCUUGAGUACGGAAGAGGCGAGUGGAAUUCCUGGUGUAGCGGUGAAAUGCGCAGAUAUCAGGAGGAACACCAAUUGCGAAGGCAGCUCGCUGGGACGUUACUGACGCUGAGACGCGAAAGCGUGGGGAGCAAACAGG